Molecule: ribosomal RNA, 253 nt
Filed under: uncultured bacterium
Lineage: Bacteria
Description: partial 16S ribosomal RNA
Rfam family: Bacterial small subunit ribosomal RNA
Source: RNAcentral
UACAGAGACUGCAAGCGUUAUUCGGAUUCACUGGGCGUAAAGGGUGCGCAGGCGGCCGAGUGUGUGAGGCGUGAAAGCCCGAUGCUUAACAUCGGAAUUGCACCUCAAACUACACGGCUAGAGCAUUGGAGAGGGUAGCAGAAUUCAUGGUGUAGCAGUGAAAUGCGUAGAUAUCAUGAGGAAUACCAGUGGCGAAGGCGGGUCUCUGGACAGUUCCUGACACUGAGACACGAAGGCCAGGGGAGCAAACGGG